GGCCUUCUGUAUCCGUGCUGAGAUUUCAUCACACACCAGACCACAAGGGCUGAUGAGACUUCCAAGAUAAGUGAAGCG
This 78-nucleotide microRNA precursor is filed under the name Schistosoma curassoni. RNAcentral's name for it is "mir-3492 microRNA precursor family". It matches the Rfam family "mir-3492 microRNA precursor family". Lineage: Eukaryota; Metazoa; Platyhelminthes; Trematoda; Strigeidida; Schistosomatidae. The record is from Rfam by way of RNAcentral.